GGUCUAGUGGUUAGGAUUCGGCGCUCU
This 27-nucleotide non-coding RNA is filed under the name Xenopus tropicalis (tropical clawed frog). RNAcentral also lists the same sequence under 5 other names. The record is from RNAcentral. Lineage: Eukaryota; Metazoa; Chordata; Amphibia; Anura; Pipidae.